This 433-nucleotide ribosomal RNA is filed under the name uncultured organism. RNAcentral's name for it is "bacterial SSU rRNA". It matches the Rfam family "Bacterial small subunit ribosomal RNA", at positions 366 to 794 of the family's 1533-position model. The record is from RNAcentral.
CGGCAAUGGGGGAAACCCUGACCGAGCGACGCCGCGUGUGGGAUGAAGGCCCUUGGGUUGUAAACCACUGUCAGAGGGGAUGAAAUGCCGGAAAGUUAUCUCUCCGGUUUGACAUAGCCUCAGAGGAAGCACGGGCUAAGUUCGUGCCAGCAGCCGCGGUAAGACGAACUGUGCAAACGUUAUUCGGAAUCACUGGGCUUGAAGAGUGCGUAGGCGGUUUCGUAAGUAGGGUGUGAAAGCCCCCGGCUCAACCGGGGAAUUGCGUCCUAAACUGCGAGGCUGGAGUGAGGUAGGGGUGUGUGGAACUUCCAGUGGAGCGGUGAAAUGUGUUGAUAUUGGAAGGAACGCCGGUGGCGAAAGCGACACACUGGACCUUGUCUGACGCUGAGGCACGAGAGCCAGGGGAGCAAACGGGAUUAGAUACCCCCGUAGU